GUGCCAGCAGCCGCGGUAAUACGGAGGGUGCAAGCGUUGUUCGGAAUUACUGGGCGUAAAGCGCGCGUAGGCGGUUUGUUAAGUCAGAUGAGAAAGCCCAGGGCUUAACCCUGGACGUGCAUUUAAAACUGGCAGACUUGAGUAUUGGAGGGGGUGGUGGAAUUCCCGGUGUAGAGGUGAAAUUCGUAGAUAUCGGGAGGAAUACCGGUGGCGAAGGCGACCACCUGGCCAAAUACUGACGCUGAGGUGCGAAGGCGUGGGGAGCAAACAGGAUUAGAUACCCUGGUAGUCCACGCGGUAAACGAUGAGAACUAGGUGUUGGGACGGUUGAUCGUCUCAUUGCCGCAGCUAACGCAUUAAGUUCUCCGCCUGGGGAGUACGGUCGCAAGAUUAAAACUCAAAGGAAUUGACGGG
Molecule: ribosomal RNA, 414 nt
Filed under: uncultured Desulfocapsa sp.
Lineage: Bacteria; Pseudomonadati; Thermodesulfobacteriota; Desulfobulbia; Desulfobulbales; Desulfocapsaceae
Description: bacterial SSU rRNA
Rfam family: Bacterial small subunit ribosomal RNA
Source: RNAcentral